RNAcentral lists this long non-coding RNA (17410 nucleotides) under Triticum aestivum (bread wheat). RNAcentral's name for it is "long non-coding RNA (TAES_LNC004648)". Lineage: Eukaryota; Viridiplantae; Streptophyta; Magnoliopsida; Poales; Poaceae. The record is from RNAcentral.
GAUUAUUUCUUCUUGAGGAGGGGACAUCUGUUUUCCAGGAGCUCUUCUAAUGUGCGGUAAUAUCUGUUCCUUAGUAAUAACUAUCAGUUGCUGCUUGGAUGUAAAAUCUUGAACACAAUGUUAAUUGUGUUAUCACUAUUAUUUGUUGCUUGGAUGUGUAAAACCUUCAGCAAACUGUCAGUUUUUGCUUUGUAUAAUCUGUUUGUUUAAGUCUGCUGCAUAUGGUUCUAAACCUCAUGCUAAUUGAUGAUGUCAGAAGGUGAUCCUUGUAUCUAAGAGUGAUUUUCGGAAUUGCAUGCUAAAAAUCUCAUAAACAUCUUGGCAUCUCGGUGAUGGGGUGACCAAUAGUUACUAUACUGGGACCCUGCCCUUAAACUGCAGAUGCUCCCCGCAGGGUUGAUUUUGUUUUGGAGUUCUCCUGCUAUCCACCAUAAGAGAUGAAAGUUUUGCUGAAAACAUCUAAAGAAAAUCUGAACUACAAAUCUCUAAGUUGAAGAUAGAAGUUAAAAAGUACUACCUUGCUCAAAGUGUGCUAUUGAAGAUCUGUCCCUUCGUUCUUUUAAGCAUAUCCAUUGCAUCUGUGUGUGUGUGUGUNNNNNNNNNNNNNNNNNNNNNNNNNNNNNNNNNNNNNNNNNNNNNNNNNNNNNNNNNNNNNNNNNNNNNNNNNNNNNNNNNNNNNNNNNNNNNNNNNNNNNNNNNNNNNNNNNNNNNNNNNNNNNNNNNNNNNNNNNNNNNNNNNNNNNNNNNNNNNNNNNNNNNNNNNNNNNNNNNNNNNNNNNNNNNNNNNNNNNNNNNNNNNNNNNNNNNNNNNNNNNNNNNNNNNNNNNNNNNNNNNNNNNNNNNNNNNNNNNNNNNNNNNNNNNNNNNNNNNNNNNNNNNNNNNNNNNNNNNNNNNNNNNNNNNNNNNNNNNNNNNNNNNNNNNNNNNNNNNNNNNNNNNNNNNNNNNNNNNNNNNNNNNNNNNNNNNNNNNNNNNNNNNNNNNNNNNNNAGGCUUACCAGUUAUCACAGUUGCAAGUAUUGAGGCCUUGCUGGCUUACCACAAUAGCUGCGACCUGCAAGUGUUGAGGUCUUACUGAGGGUGGUUAUCAACUAACACUUUGGAAGAACCUAAUAUAUGCAUUUGCAUGUUAGAUCCUGUGAACCAUGAGUAUCUUGUAAGUGCCGCGCCCUGUUGCUACCAAUCCACAACCUGUGGUAACCAUUAUGAGCCUGUAUUCUUUGUAGGUAUUACGCACUGUCUCUCUAAUUUUGCUGGCAGCCGCAUGCCCUGGAUUGGUUGCACACUCGUGCUCAUCUAUCGUAUCACACAUGUCAAUCCUUCCACAUGUCAAUGUUAAUUAUAUGCUCUGUUCGUAGAUGAUUCGAUAGACAGUACAAAAAAUUUCAUUGUAGGUUUGGAAUAUUUUGGGAUGUGAACAAGUUGCAAAGCUCAAUUCUCCAUAUGAGAUCAAGAAAUAAUAGAUAUUUAUUUUAUCUCAGUUUCAUUGAAGAAUGAAACAGUCAUAUUGGCUUUUGUGUUUAGGUGUUAUUUUUUAUCUAUAUGGCAUAAGGCUUGUGUGGAUUUACUUAUGGAACUGCAAUUUGUGUUGUCUUAUUCGGCAUAUGCUAACCAAUCAAUGGUAUCUUUCUAAAGACCUAGGUAAAUACUCUUAGCAAAGAGGCUGCUAUUGAUGCCUUCAAAAGGGAUAGUGAUAGAUCUAAGAGAGUGGUGAGGAGAGCCGCGCGGAACACUUAAAUACAUUUCUGGCUUCCUUCAAAAUACAACUAGGCUCUGCUUUAUAGAGGACUUCUAAAGGAUGGCUUGAAAAGGGAUGGAUGCAAGGAUGGUGAAGAUUUGGUAAUAGACGGUCUUCUCCCAGUUUUAUGCAAAUUAACUGGGCAAUUCUCUUGUGCUUAACUAAUAGGUAGAGGCAAAUCUUUUGCCUCCGUUUCGAAAAAAAGAAAGAUUCGAUAAUAGGGGGAUGGGAGAAGGAGCCGGGAGGAACGAUUAGAUACAUCCUUGUUUCCUUCAAAAUACAACUAAGCUCUGCUUUAUAAAGAGGACUUCUAACCGAUAUUAGAGAACUCUCUGUAGUAUAAGAUGCAAACAUUAUUAUGAAAGGAUACCAACAAAACAAACAGUAUACAACUAAAAGAUACUACCUCCUUUCCAGUUAAAAGGCCUACCCGUUUCUCUAGGUUGACAAUUUUUCCAACCUAACACGAGUCAUAGAUCGUCAAUAUAUACCAUUAGAAACUUCAAAUGUUAUAAUUUCCCAUGUUAUAAUUUUUGUGAUAUACAAUUUGCAUCGCAUUGGUUGAAUUGGCAAGCCCAAACUUGGAUGUGAAUAGUGAUGCAUAAACAACCUUCAUCUACAGUAUAUUUCAGUGGGCCUCUUCACAUAGCAUGAUUACAGUUUUGGGUAAUGUUCCUGCUCACCAGUUUUGCAUAAUAGCAAACUGUACCAUAGGCCAGAGUCAUGUUCGCUUCUAGUUUAUGGAUUACCUUCAAGAUUUGUCGUCUUCAUCAUUUUAUAAAAUAGAUUAGUGUGUCACGCAAACAUGAUUUUUUUAAUCGAAUAUUGUUGAACCGGUAUGGGCCCAAGCCCAUCUACUUAUCACUUAGGGCCCAAGCCCAUGUGGAGGUGCUGACCUAGAAAGGGGCAUCCAGCCCUCCCGUUCCCAGAAGAGCCGCCAUACACGAGAGAGACCUCACGCAGGACACAAGGCACCAUGAGCUCUCCUGUCUGAAGGUACUUCACCUCUCGUACAACAUGGUAUCAGAGGCCAGCGACGGCGGGGCCUAAGGAGACGGCGGCGACGUCCGGCGAGGCGGCGGCGGAUCUGGGCGGCGUCCGGCGAGGCGGCGGCGGAUCUGGGAGGCGCGGCGUGGCUGUGCAGGAGGUGCUCUGCGUGGCAGAGGAAGAAGGAGAGGUGGAGCUGCUGUGCUGCGCGGCAGGAGGAGGCAGCUGAGGAGCGGCUUGGUCUCCUCGAGAGUGGGCUGUGCUGCUGUGCGUGUGUGCAGGGGACGGGAGCUGGAGAGCUGCUGCGGGGGUUGGCUGUUGUUGGAGGCCAAGGUUCUCUGGAACUGCUGCUGUUUGCAGAGGAAGGAGAAGAGGUUGUUGUUGCUGCUGGAGCUGCUGCUGGGCAUCUGAGUUGCUGGGUGCUGCUGCUAGCCAGGGGGUGUGAGUUGCUGCCGAUUGCUGAAGGUGAAGGGGGCAACUCUGCUGUUGUUGUCGCUGGGUGCUGCUGCUAGCCUGGGGGGAGAAAAGGGACCGUGCAGGGGACAGUGCAGCUGUAGGGCUGUGUUGCUGAGGGUUGUUGUUGAUUACCGGAUCGGAGAUGAGUAAACCAACUGGUCUUGCUGAGGCUUUCGAGAAGCUUGCUAAGAUCCUCGCUGAGUCCAACUCUGGGGCCAUUGUUCCUCGACAGGAAGUGGCUCAGAAGCUCUAAAUGUCACCCCUGGACAUGAAGCUGGAGGGGGCCACAAAUUAUUUGAGUUGGUCCAGGAGGGCAUUGCUGGCUGUGGAACAGAAGGAACUAGAUGGGCACUUAUUGGGUGCGGUUGAUGAACCAGGAGACAAGACUACCGCGGAGGGAAAGAGGUGGAAGGUCAUAAACUCCGUGCACGUUGGCUGGUUGUUGAACUCAGUGGUGCCCCCCAUUGGAAGCUCUGUGGAGGGACUAUCCACGUCCGCCAAGAUAUGGAAGACUUUAUCCACCUAAUACUCAGGCAAGGGUAAUUUCAUGCUAAUUGCUCAGAUUGAGGGGAAGAUCAGUCGGCUGCACCAAGGUGACGACAUGUCAGUGAUGGCAUAUGUGGCAGAACUGCAGGCUUUGUGGGCGGAGCAGGAUAACUGCGAUCCUCUGGAACUCUAUGAUGCCGCUUGCAUCGAGUCAGGGCGCAAGUGGAUUGCACGCAGGCGUGUGUUGAAACUGUUGGAAGGGCUCAAAGGUUGCUUUCAUGGAAGGGGGGCAUCCCUGUUACACCAACCUCUCCUGCCAACUAUUGAGGAGACUAUUGCAACAAUGUCUCAAGAGGAGGUGAGGCUAUCUCUUGAGCAUGCAGACAUGAAGGCUGUGCCGGCUUCGACAUUUGCUGUCACUGAGCGCAUGGAGUGGGGAGAUCCCAACAAAUGUCAUGUUUGUGGGGAGAUAGGUCACUGGAAGAGGGAAUGUCCAACUCGUGGCAGAGGCAGGGGAUACAACAGAGGGUGGACUGGCAGAGGUAGGCAUGCUAGAGGCAGAGGUGGAUACCUAGGGAACUCGGGGCAACUUUCUAGGGGCAGAGGUGGCUACUCAGGAAACUCAGGGGGGCAGAGGGUACAUAUGGUAGUUGAAGGGGACACCGGGACGUCAAAGGGCAAGGAAGUUGACGAGGCUGCCUAUGGAGACUUUGCUCAUUGGGCCUCCACUGAUGAAGGUAAUCCGACAAAGGCAUCUCUUACUCCUAAUGAGAAUGCUUCAGAGUGGGUCCUAGACUAUGGAGCAUCUAAGCAUGUUGCGGGUAAUUCCUGUGUGUUUGAGUCUUACAAUAAGCACCCUCCUACUCACAAGGGCACUAUACAAACUGCCGAUGGUACAAAUCAGCCUGUCGUAGGGGUUGGCACAGUCAAGUGCACUUCAAACAUCUCGUUAUCGUCAGUUGUGCCAGCUUUUCCUAUCAAUUUGGUCUCUUUCAGUGCUCUCAUUGAUGAAAUAGACUGUCGUGUGAUCCUUGACAAGUUUGAAUGCUUGAUUCAGGUGCGACAAACGAGCCAGAUGGUUGGGACUGGCACCAGGCGUAGGGGGCUUUGGUACAUGGACCAGGAGGUGCAGCCAGACUUGGUGUGUGCUGUGACCACGGAGGACAAGGAGAAGUAGGCGAUGAUCCAUCACUGUAGGAUGGGGCAUGUAUCUUUUGAUAAGAUGAGUAGAAUAUUUCCAGAUCUUAUGUGUGGAAUAGGCAAGGGCAAGUUGACAUGUGAUGCUUGCGAAUAUGCAAAACACACACGAGCCUCAUAUGUGAGUAAGGGGCUUAGGAGCAUAUCUCCUUUUAUGCUUAUUCAUUCGGAUGUAUGGACGAGCCCGGUAGUGUCAAUGAAUGGAAAGAAGUAUUUUGCUACCUUUAUUGACUGCUAUUCUCGUAUGACUUGGAUUUACUUGAUGCGUCACAAUGAUGAGGUGUUUAGCUGUUUUCAGAACUUCCAUGCUCUUGUAAAGAACCAGUUUCAGGUACAGGUCAAGGUGCUCAUGACUGACAAUGGCACAGAGUAUGUGAACAACAAUUUUGGGGCUUUCAUGGCUGACCAAGGGAUUCUUCAUCAAACUUCAUGCCCGGACACCCCACCUCAGAAUGGAGUGGCCGAAAGGAAAAAUCGUCAUAUUCUUGAGGUUGCUCGGUCGUUGAUGUUUACCAUGAAUGUGCCUAAAUUCUUAUGGGAUGAAGCAGUUAUGACAGCCACAUACCUGAUCAACCGGACACCUUCUAGGAUACUAGGUAUGAAAUCUCCAUCUGAGUUGCUCGUUGGAGAUAAUAAGUUUGUUGUUUCCCCCAAGCUGUUUGGCAGUACCUGCUUUGUUCGUGAUCAUCGACCAUCUGUUGGAAAGCUUGAUCCUCGAGCUGUGAAGUGUGUCUUUCUGGGAUACUCUUCUAGCCAGCAGGGGUAUAAAUGUUGGUGUCCCUCUGAAAAACGCAGGUUUGUAAGUAUGGAUGUUACCUUUAGGGAGUCUGAGCCAUUCUAUGGUGAGCUAACUGAUCUCAGUCUGUUGUUUGCAGAGCUUGACCACCUGCACCCUGUGCACGAUGGUAAGAGGGGGAGAAGGAUGCGUCUCGUACUCAUGAUGAUUCUGUGGGCAUUAACACUGAUAAUGAUGUGCAAGUUCAGGUCCAACCAAUUGUGGGUAGAAUUCCAGUUAGUACUCUCACCGAUGAUGAUGUGCAGGUUCAUGUCUAGCCAACUGUGGAUACACUUAAGUUUGGUGCUCUCCAGGUUCCUGUUCGGGAUCGAUGGCAGACGAAUACCCUGGUGUACUCUCGACGGCAACCACACGUGCAGGGGGAGCGGCAAGGCAGUGAGGCAAGAGUGCAGGGUGAGCAGCAAGGCAGUGAGGCAAGCUCAUCUAACACAGUGGAGCUGCCCAUUGUGUUGCGAAAGGCUACACGUGAAGCGGCAAGGAAGGGUGAAGUAGCAAGGAAGGCUCUACCAAAGGAUGAUGCUUGUGAUGACCUUGAUAUUGGAAAUUUUGUGUCUUAUAAGGCUUUGUCACCUUCAUAUAAGGCGUUUGUUGCCUCCCUUCAAACUGUGUCAAUCCCAAAGGAUUGGAAGGUUGCAAAGCAAGAUCCGAAGUGGCGUGAAGCGAUGAUAGAAGAGUUGGAAGCACUGAGAAAAAACAAGACGUGGGUGCUAACCACGUUGCCAGCAGAAAAGAAAGCAGUGAGUUGUAAGUGGAUCUAUACAGUGAAGCAGAAUCCUGAGGGGAAGGUGGAACGGUACAAGGCUAGAUUGGUCGCCAGAGGAUAUAGUCAAACUUAUGGAAUUGACUAUGAUGAAACAUUUGCUCCCGUGGCAAAGAUGAACACAGUAAGGAUAUUGGUCUCAUGUGCUGCAAACUUUGGGUGGAAGUUGCAUCAAUUAGAUGUCAAGAAUGCCUUCUUGCAUGGUGAGUUGCAGGAAGAAGUGUACAUGGAGAUACCACCAGGUUUUGGUACUUCAGAGACCACGGGGAAGGUAUGCAGGCUGAAGAAAUCCUUGUAUGGACUGAAGCAAUCACCAAGGGCAUGGUUUGAUAGGUUCAGACGUGCCAUCCGUGGUAUGGGGUAUGGUCAGUGUAACGGUGACCACACGAUGUUCUACAGGCACUCCGAUCGGAAGAUCACCAUCCUUGCUGUUUAUGUGGAUGACAUUAUCAUCACUGGAGAUGAUAAGGAGGAAUACAGAGAUUGAAGGGCUGUCUAAGCAAGGAGUUUGAGGUAAAGGAUUUGGGCAACUUGAAAUACUCCCUUGUCAUUGAAGUUGCUCGGACAGAGAAGGGAAUCUCUAUGUGCCAACGAAAAUACACCUUGGAUCUCUUGAGUGACAUGGGCAUGAUGGGGUGUCGUGCUGCCCCUACUCCGAUUGAACAAAAUCAUCAAGUGAUAGCACAAUCAGGAGAGCUAGUGAAUAAGGAAGAUUAUCAGAAAUUGGUUGGGAGGUUAUUGUACUUGUGUCAUACCAGGCCUGACAUUACAUAUGCCGUCGGGGUGGUGAGCAGAUACAUGCAUGAACCAAGGAGUGGGCAUCUUGAUAUUGUGCAGAGAAUCCUGAGAUACUUGAAGGGGACUCCGGGUAAAGGGUUGUGGUUUGGGAAGAGUGGACAUCUUGAGGUGGAUGGCUAUAGUGACUCUGACUGGGCCAGUUGUCAAGAUGAUAGAAGAUCCACUUCUGGCUACUGCGUGUUUGUGGGAGGAAAUUUGGUGUCUUGGAGAAGCAAGAAACAGCCGGUUGUGUCUAGAUCAACAGCAGAAGCUGAGUAUAGAGCAUUAUCUCAAAGGUUGUGUGAGAUGCUCUGGGUGAAGUACCUACUGAGUGAGUUGAAACUUCUGAGGAAGGGACCCUUGAAGGUGUGGUGUGACAAUCAGUCAGCUAUAGCCAUUGCUAAUAACCCAGUUCAACAUGAUAGGACAAAGCAUGUGGAAAUUGAUCGCUUCUUCAUUAAGGAGAAACUUGAUGCUGGGAUCAUCAGCCUUACUCAUGUCAGCUCUGGGCAGCAGUUUGCAGAUUGCUUGACAAAGGGACUGGGAACAAAGGACUGUAACUUGGCGUGUGACAAGAUGGGAAUGAUAGAUAUCUACCACCCAUCUUGAGGGGGAGUGUUGAACCGGUAUGGGCCCAAGCCCAUCUACUUAUCACUUAGGGCCCAAGCCCAUGUGGAGGUGGACCUAGAAAGGGGCAUCCAGCUCUCCCGUUCCCAGAAGAGCCGCCAUACACGAGAGAGACCUCACGCAGGACACAAGACACCAUGAGCUCUCCUGUCUGAAGGUACUUCCCCUCGUACAACAAAUAUGUUUCAGAUCAGAUCAAGGAUAUUGUGAUUCACUAUAACAUCACAUCUCUGCUAUACUAGCAUGGCGCUACAAUUGGAAUUUUGUGCCAAUUAUAGACUGUACUCGUCCCGAAUAGCGAAUCAAACACAACAAGAAUUGUAUAUAUUUCAGAUAGUAGUUGCUGUGUCUAGCUGUGUUGCACUGAAAUUACAAACAUUAAAAACUGUAGAGACUACCGAUAUUUGAUAAUCACAAUCCGUGCACACGGUAUUCAAGAGCAUGCGUUUGACACCCUUACUCAGUAGUUGAGUUAUCUUUCUCCUUACACUCUCCCUCGUUGUUGCCUUCUACAACUUUUUUUGACUCGUUGCAUCAUGUAGACGACCUGUCAACUUUUUCUUCUGAGCAAUUGCAAUCAAUGUCUUGUUUAUAGGUUGAUGACUUUUCUCCUAUAGUGCCUACUGCUGAAGAUCACAAUGGAAAUACAGAGCACCUGACAAACAAGUUUCCAGACGACAGGCUUGGCGACCGAUAUUUACAGGUGCUCUGCUUUUAUGUAUGAUGUGACAUAUGAUGCCCUGUUUCCAGUUUGUGCAUAGCACUGUUUCAAUCAGUCUCAAUUCCAACACAAUUUACAUGCCAACCUAUUCUAUGUGAGGAGUCUUGAUCAUCUUCGGAGUGGUAGCUUUGUUCUUUGUGGUAUCAUCACUUUGUGCAUGCGAUGAUCUGAUGGCGGCUGUGGUUAGAGGUGUUGCGCAGUAUGCAAAUAUCACUUUGGUCUACCAGUCAAGAUGUGAGAUGACAUGGUUCACUGAUACUCAGGUUGAGAAACAAUUUUCUUUCCAGCAUGGUAGUUGGGAAAACAAACUGGACUCUGUAAAUCAGGGACAUGAUACACAUUUGCUUUGGUCCUAAGCUUCAGUGUGUAAAAAAUUACCAGUGUUGCAAAAUUGUAAACUCUUGUAUCGAUGUAUAACCGGAUGGUUAGCUGAAUGGAUAUCAAUUGAAGUCACUUGGGCUCAAUUGUGUUGAAACUGCUGGAACUCAGAGAGCCUGGGAUAUCCAGAGAAUGCAAGCAAAGCACGGCCCAUGCACAGUACCUGUAUGGGCCGUGCAUGGGCGGACAUUUCGGCGCCCUAACCUGCCUCUUGCUGAAAGCAUUUCGGAGACAUGUACUUUUACUCCAUUUUUUCUGUUUUGCUGCAUUUCUUCAUUUAUUAAGUGAUCUGGUCCUUCCACGGAAGGAAUCAUUUUGUAAAAUAGUCAUCUCUCCACCGAGAGCGAUGUAUGUCAACUCCAAUUAUAUGUACCUGCACGGCAUAAUUCUUAUGGUUGGACUUGGAUGCUUCCAAGCUAAUCAUUUGGGAAUUUCUCGCUCAACGCACUUCAUAAUCAUUUUGAUGAUCAGUUAGCAGUUGCCAGAUUAAUCUCCCCCCUUUCUUCUUCUCAGGGCAUCUCCAAUGGGAGACGCUUAAAUAGGCGCUUAUGGUAAGGAUUUUAGGCUAAGCGUCUGUGCUAGAGUCUGCACCUCCAACGCAAGUCGCAAAUAACAGGCGCUCCACGAGUUAAAAAUGAACAGAAACGUCAAGCGAAAAGGCUGGAGCGCUCGACGCCUAAUUUUGCUGCGGCGCUAACAAAUGAACGGGAUUUGGCUGGGAAUAAGACGUAACGGAUGGGAUUUUGACCCUGGCAUCCCGUCUUAGCGCUCCCGUUAUAGAUGCCCUCAGAGGACCAAUAUUGUUGUUGGCGAGAGACAAGAAUGUCCGCCGAGCGCUUCAGCUUGUAAGACUAGACUUUUUGUUGUCGUUGAGACAAGUCCAAACCUGCAAUUGCAUUAUCACUAGGAAAUAGGAAUCCAUACUUUCUAUCAUUAAACAGUGUAUGCAUUGAGAUCACUUGGUGGCCAUAGAAACUCAUAGCGCAUGAUGAUCUUCCAAGCACUUCUAUUUGUUGCGAAUGUACGUGCUUAGCAUCAGUAAUCCUUAUUAGCGGGUACCGAGUAAAAUGGCUCAAUUAAUCAGGAUUCAGAAAUUUCCAGGCAACUCGCAUCAUGCAGAAGCAUUCCCUAAACAAAAGGAAACGGAAUGUAAGAGCAACCACAACUCCACAAGAUUGGUUAGAAAAUGCAGGCCUGAUGUUCCUCCCCAUCACCCAUUCUAAGUCCAACGAUUCAAAACAAUUGAUUAACAGUCAUCCAACCGAUCGACACCCACACGCAGCACGUCCCCAUGUUGCGCUAAGCAUGGACACGGCCUCAUUUCUUUACGGCCACUUGCCACAGUCCCAUGAGAAAUGAUUAGUUCAAAAAUGUCAAUUAGGGGGGGUGGGGAAUCUCCUCUCAGAUCACGAUGUGCCCUCAUGCGUGCCUAAUAACAGUGGCAUCGCUUUGCAGGCAGGCAGCACAUCCCAGAGACGGAAUUAAGAAGGCAUACCACAGUGCAUUAUUAUUAGAUCGUGGUGCUCCUCGUGCCUAACGGUAGAGAAUUUUGUGAACUGGCUUGGCUUCCAUUUUCUUUUCUUUUCCCUCAACUACUGGCAGCGGCAUGGCCGGCCCAAUGGCUUAAAUUCCUGCUAUCCCUCUGAGACUAUAUUUUAAUCUUUGGAAUAUCUACAGCUUGAAUAAUACAGUGUGAAAUAAUUCAAGUGGCAGAGCAUGCCAAUCUAUGCCAGGCUAGAGAACACAAGAAAGCCAAGUGAUCGAUUUAACACAGGGAUAGCUAGGAUGAUUAUGUGUUGAGAUAAGUACUUUCUUGACAUGUUUUACUGCGAGAAGAAGAAGCUGAUGGAUGGAGCAUCGUGUGUGCCAGGCGAAAAGCCAAGGGAGGGAAUAUGCUGCUCGCCGGCAAAGGCAUUUUGGGGUUGAGAGCAAAAGGAAAGGGUGGAGGAAAGGGGAGAAAGGUAGCUAGCUGGCUCCCGGAGAAUGUUCAUUUUGUGCGGUACGUUCCCGUCGUGGAACGGAGUGCAGCACGUCACGCGCGCUCAAUCCGCUCCUCCUUGUAGCUUCCACCGGAAUAAAGCUGCGUGCAUCUCCUUUUUCCCUUGGCAUCCUCGACGAUCUUCCUUCUUCCACCUCCGUGGAACAAAACAGUAAUGCCAUGUACGUGAUGGGGGAUCUGGCCCGGUCGCCAGCAUGGUCACGUUGCCAUGGCUAGCGCAUUAAUGAUCCAUCACGCACCUGCAGCCUCGUCCAAGCUAAGAUGCUCGCCACGAGAUGGGUGGCAAGGAAGCAUCCAUCGAUCCAUCACCUCUAUCGUACUUGUUCCAAUAUUUUGUCGGAGAAAUAAUCGUAGUCCCUUCGAUCCAUAUUACUCGUCGCGGUUUUACCACAACUUUGCAUCAAUCAGUUGAUGCGAAGAAAACAGGUGAUAAUUCUCUGGCACGUCGACGCUCGUAGAAAAAAUGUGUAUGGAUUCAGGCGACAGUCGACGAGGGGCCAUAUGAUUAGCACGCCGUGGGGAUGCAUGCAUGACCUUUGGCUUGAGAAAUACUCCUACAAAAAUGCAUGUGACGCGUCGCCGGCCAUGUCUCGUGCCGCAUCGAUCCCACUGUCCCAAGCCGGCCGGCGGUUGAAUCUACCCUACCCCCUCUCGAUCAUUGCGUUGCGAUGCUCGACAUGGGGAAUUCCGUUCAUAUGCUCCGUGUGAAAUGAGGUAGUACCAGUCUACGUGCAUGCACCAAAAUUUCUACUAUAGCAUAAUAUGUUUCCAAGGGGCCGGGUACGCACAGGACUAGUUUUGUAAGCACUCCGAUGAGCAUAGUUUGCGAAUACUUGUGGUCGAUUCAGCGCAAAGGACCGGCUGAAACCGACAGCAAUAUACUACUCGAUCAGAUGCUCUUAUCCUCGCCUCGUUUUACAUCUCGUGCGCGCGCCAGCAUCGGGGACUGACCGGUUCUCUGAACGUGUUCAUCACUCUGCCAUCGAUCUUCUGACAUUUACUACUAACUGUCAAUUCAUAGUUUAAGAUCCGCGGACGAUUCACCGAACCCAUUUGAACGGCGAAAACUACUGGUGGUAGUAGUAACAGUACAUCACAUCACUAGAUGCGUCCACGCAUCCAAUGGCUAAUUUGACUGUGAUUUGCGAGCGUACCACUCCUGCGAGUUUCCAACUCUUGUGUUAAGGGCAUGUACAAUGCAUAGCCCUAGGGUGAUGCCUCGCAUGUCAUGUAGGAUCGGAUAUCAGGUAAAUUAGGUUCGGAUAGGGAAGUGGGAUCCUCUGCAGGAGGCGGGUGCUUGGAGAGAAAAAGUGUGGUCCGGUGACAAAAGCUGAAAAGGUUGGAGUGAAAAGUAGAGAUGCAUGUGUAUUAGAGUCUUUAUUUUCUACUCCCUCCGUUUCUAAAUAUUUGUCUUUCUAGAGGUUUCAACAAGUGACUACAUACGGAGCAAAAUGAGUGAAUCUACACUCUAAAAUAUGUCUAUAUACAUCCGUAUGUGGUAACCAUUUCAAAUCUCUAGAAAGACAAAUAUUUAGAAACGGAGGGAGUAUUUCUUAAUGAGGCCCACUAGUUGUAACUUACAUUGGGGAGAAGAAAUAAAUGUAGGUGCCUCAAACUACUUUUUGUCAUGGGACGUAUGUAUCCAUAUGCCACCAUUGUACAUGCCCUAAGAAGCUUGGGACUCUUUUAUCUCGUGCUGAACGGACGUAAGCCUCAAACCCCGAUGAGGCGCCGAUGGACAGAUGUAACCGAUGAGCUAGAUCAUCGCACGUGCGUACGUCUCCGACGGUGUUAGGGGGAGCUGAGCUCCGACCCCUCAGGCCAACUCCACCGCGCGACCCCAUCCUGUCCGCCCCUGUCCGUUUGGGGUAAAAUGGACAAACCAGACGGCCCAGCGCGCGGGCGCAAACGGACUUUUGUCCGUUUUGUGUCCGCUUUUGACCCAUCCCCGGCCCAAGUUUGCGCCGGUUUUGGGGUGAAACAGACAGCGCGCGGACGGGCAGGACGCGCGCGCUUGUCCUCCCCUGGCCCGCCUGUCGGUGAGGGAAACCANNNNNNNNNNNNNNNNNNNNNNNNNNNNNNNNNNNNNNNNNNNNNNNNNNNNNNNNNNNNNNNNNNNNNNNNNNNNNNNNNNNNNNNNNNNNNNNNNNNNNNNNNNNNNNNNNNNNNNNNNNNNNNNNNNNNNNNNNNNNNNNNNNNNNNNNNNNNNNNNNNNNNNNNNNNNNNNNNNNNNNNNNNNNNNNNNNNNNNNNNNNNNNNNNNNNNNNNNNNNNNNNNNNNNNNNNNNNNNNNNNNNNNNNNNNNNNNNNNNNNNNNNNNNNNNNNNNNNNNNNNNNNNNNNNNNNNNNNNNNNNNNNNNNNNNNNNNNNNNNNNNNNNNNNNNNNNNNNNNNNNNNNNNNNNNNNCUGCCGCCUCCUCUCUCCCCCGUCCAUGGCCGACGCCCCGCCGAAUUCCGGCGGCCUGGCCGUCGACCCACCAAGAAAGGUGAAGAAGAAGGCGGCCAAGGCGCCAAGGAAGCCGCGGUCGGAGUGCACGCCGGAGGAGAUCGCCAAGUUGGACGCGGAAUCGGUGAAGAGGAGGAAACGGAGAGCGGUCGUCAAGGUCAAUGCCGCCGCGGCCAAGUUCGCCGCCCAGCGCGAUGCGAUGGAGGCCGCGCGGCGCAAGGGCGCGGUCGACGAGAAGGAGGACCUCGUUAACAAAGUGCACACCCUCCUCAUGCUUGGCAUGGGCCGUCCGGCCGGUUUCCCUGCAGCGGCCGUCGGCCCGGCGAGCACAGGCUCGCGGUCGCCCGGCCUCCGCACUGCAAGUCGCCGACAUCGCGGACCACGCCCAUGUCGCCCGGCUUUCCUCCGCCAAGGCACGACGGCCAGACCCGUUUCUCGGGGUCGCCGAACGUCGGCUUGUUCGCGCCGUCGACACCGCGCCCCGCGGCCGUCAUCGACCUCAGUGUCACGCCUGGGUCCAGCAGUGGCGGCCGGCUGUCCGUCGAGAUGCAAAGAAAGCAAGCACGGGCACCGUUCAUGGGCACCAUGCCGGGCCCCCGCGUCUUGUUUGACGGAAUGCCAACACCAACUCCACGGUCGACGACCCCUUCUACAACCAGUACAUGGAGGACAUGAUCUUCGAGGGUGGGCAGGGCCGUGCCUACGACCCCGACGAGACCCAAAGUCAGGAUGGCCGCGCCCAGUACGUCCCCGAUGAAGAGGCCGACGACCGUGCUGACUACGACCAUGGUGACUCGUGGCAUGAAGACAAUGACAUCUAUGUCGAAGGUGAUGGUGAUGAAGAAGAAGGCAAUGACGUUGAUAUUAGUGGCGAACCAUUGUUCAUCGACGAGCUCACCCAAAGAGCGGAAGCACAAAAGAAGAGGAAGAGCAUUCGCACGGGUUCAUAUACACAAGAUGAGGACAAGUUGAUUUGCCAAUCUUGGAUGGAGAUUAGCCAAGAUCCGAGGACCGGCGCGCAACAAAAGGGCCUUGUUUUUUUGGACGAGAGUCCACAAAAAUUUCCAUGAAAGGAAGAUGUUUGAGCCCUACCAAAUUACAAGCAACCGUGGCAUCGGCUCGAUUCAAAAGAGGUGGUUGUUCAUCCAACAAGAGUGCAACAAGUAUUGCGCCGCAUUUGAGAGCGUUGAAGCACGACCUGUGAGUGGUCUCGGCGUUGGGGACAUGGUAUGCUGUCUUCUUCCUAGUCCUUUCCUGGCUACGGCCAUGAGACUUCGGCCUUGUAUAUGUUUGCAUGUUCACUUGUUGUUGAUCAUGUGGUGUAGGCAUUUCAAUCUUUGGAGGCAUUCAAGGCCCGACACAAUGACAAGCCAUUCACUCUUACGCAUUGUUGGACGAUCAUCAACAAUUGCCCUAAGUUCAAGGACCAAUACCGUGAACUUCAAAGGAAGAGAGGAUUGAAGACGACCAAGUUCGCCGGAGGUGGAGAUGGCGAGGCGUUGAAGAGGCAGAGGGGCAAGACCAACUCCAAGGUUGACGACAUACGUGAUGCCUCAUCCAUGGCAUUGCAUGACACUUUGCAUGGCAUGAUGUCUCAAAAGGAUGUGAAGGACGAGAAGAAGCGGCAAAGCAAGGACGAGCAGAUGAAGCAAUACCUAGACCUUCAAAGGAAGAAGCUUGAGAUGGAGGAGGCGGCCAAGAGGAGGAAGAUCGACAUGGAGGAGGCGGUCCGGCAAAGGCAGCUCGACAUCGAGGCCGACAACGUCAAGGCCAGGCAGAGGCAGCUCGACAUCGAGGCCACCAAUGCCGCCACCAAAGUGAAGGAGGUGGCACUUGCGAUCAUGAGCGUGGACUUGUCGAAGAUGAGCGAGAAGACGAGGGCCUGGUUCGAGGCCAGGCAGAAGGAGAUGCUCGACGCCGAAGGCCUGAACUAGGUCGUCUGAUCGGCCGUGGCCGUUCUUUUUGGAGGGUGGCAUGGGUGCCGGCGAGAAAAAACAUUCAUUUUGGAGGCCGGCGCCACCGCAUUUCAGGACACGUUCGGACACGACCCAUUGCCCUACCUAAACGGACGGAAACCGGACAAAACGGACGUCCGUUUGAGGUCGCGCGGUGGAGUUGGCCUCGCUCACUCACAUGCAGGCAUGGCAUGGAUUUCAGGCGCCGCGCGUGCUCACUGAAACUGAAAGCAAGCCAAAGACAAAGGGACGUAGUAGCAGCAUCGAGGACGGGCGAUAGAUACAGUGCACUGCAUGGGAGUGCGGGAAAGUGAUCACCCCGGCCCGGCCCGCAAAAGGCACAUUCCCUGAUCGAUCGACCCGGCCUCUCGCCUUUAACCUGCCGCUGUGUCAUCGUCGAUCUGCACUUUGGCACCUCUCCCGGCCAGGACCGGCCGGAGGCCAUCGCUUUGCAGGUUUAUUCGCAUGGCAGUGGCAUGCAUCCCUCUGUCGUCUCCUCGUAAAGCAGCCACCGCGACGCGUACGUCCUCGUCUGGCCCGGGCCAGGGACCGGCAUGGCCAUGCCAAAGACAGCCAGACACCAGUCACCACUCACCAGUGUGUGUGUUGCGUUGGUGGUGCACACACGAGGUACGUACGUACAUAUGCAUGCGCCUGAUGCCCGGCGGCGUGGCGCGCUGGUGACCCCGCGAACUCCGCGACCUCAGCGCCGGCUAACGUAGACGCAUGCUCGUGAUGUGCUCUGUUGCGCUGCGCCCGGGUCUCGCUUUCGGCUUAGCCAGCUAGUUUCGCCGUCGUUCCCCGGCAACCCUCGCUUUCGCCUCGAGGAAGAGCAAAACGAUGGGAACAUCCAUGCGCGCGUACGUACAUAUUGUUUAGUUAUUACUAGUAGUAAUCAUAGAUGUGUACAACCAGUACGUACGUCCCCCACACUCCGCUGGGUUCAUGCAUGAACCAUCUCCUUGAUCGAUCCAAUCAUUGGCCCUGUUUGGAUACUCUAACUCAGUUAGAGGUUAGAGUUAGAUUCUAAUCCUGAACCAACCUUAAACUAACUCUAACCAAAGAGCUGUUUGGAUGGUAAGGUUAGAUUGAUAAUAAAUAUUCUUUCUCAAUCGUUUGACUACUUUAGACCAUGUUUGGAUGGGAGGGGUAACUUUUUUUACUAAUUUUUUUAGUGGGCCCAAAAGAACUAACCCAAAUAAGCUCCUCUAGUGUGGGCUAGUUUUUUGGGGUGGGUUAGAUCCAACUAACCCAAACUAACCCAUCAUGGUUGGAUACUUUUGGGUUAUUUGAGCUCCAACUAACCAAAACUAACUCUAACUUAGGGAUCCAAACAGGGCCAUUGGGUAAGAUGCACAUAUGCUAUAAUGUAACAGAAAGAAAAUGCCAACGACCUGAAGAGGAAGUGCGUCUUCUCUAAUCUUUAAAUUUAAAGGAACAUCCAGAUCUGUAUAGUUAGUUUGGGCCGUUUCAUACCGGUCGGUCGGCGAGGAGUAGAUUGGUAGUAGGAACUAAUUGGUCUACGAACUACUAGUAUUUCAACAAGGAAAAUGCAUAGGUUAAAUUUAAUAAAAUGGUUGUGUGCAUCCUUGCAAACCCCCUCUCACACACAAAAAAAAAAUGGUUGUGUGCAUUGUAUAAUACAUAGGCCGAGGUUAUUCUUUUUUUGAAAGAAAAAAUGCAUAGGAGCUCUUGGGUGCCCGUGAAACCUAUAUGAAUAUUUAAAAAAUACCAGAAAAAAUAAAAAAAUCUAAAAUAUUGGGUAUCAAAUCUGAUCGAUCAUUCUACUGACGUGUGGAGUUUCAUGAAGAAUCUUCGUGUAAAAUCAUUUGUCGAAUAAGUUAGCUGAGACACUGUUAAUGCUCUGGAAAAAAAAUACUAGACAGACCAAAGUAGUGAUCAACCCGUACAGUGCAUGUGGGCAAGAAAGGCAUGGCAUGGGCGCAUCCGCGGAGGGAGAAGGCGUCCAAUUCAAAAUGUUCAGAAGAGGAAAUGUUAGAAAUGAGCCUGGAGCUCCACAGAUGUUCAAAUUCAAUACGAAUCAGUGUUCAAGAUAUCGGAUACUCUACUUGUUGUUGGUCAAAGACGUG